This 162-nucleotide non-coding RNA is filed under the name Rhodospirillaceae bacterium. RNAcentral describes it as "6S RNA". It matches the Rfam family "6S / SsrS RNA". Rfam says of the family: E. coli 6S RNA was the first non coding RNA to be sequenced, but its function was unknown until recently. Lineage: Bacteria; Pseudomonadati; Pseudomonadota; Alphaproteobacteria; Rhodospirillales; Rhodospirillaceae. The record is from RNAcentral.
AGGUUUCUGCUCGACAUGACAGGCUCGUACAAUCCCCGGGGCCGACGACAAAUCUCUAGGGAGCUGUCACUGACCAAAGUCGUGGCUUUGGAUACACGGCACCCACCUGCUUCUUUCAGCAGGUCGCGGAGGAAAACAGCCACCGGUUGCAGCGGGACCUUC